This 507-nucleotide ribosomal RNA is filed under the name Triticum aestivum (bread wheat). Its description in RNAcentral is "partial small subunit ribosomal RNA". Lineage: Eukaryota; Viridiplantae; Streptophyta; Magnoliopsida; Poales; Poaceae. The record is from RNAcentral.
AUGCAUGCGGCACCGAAAGCACGUGCAUGGCUUCCGCCAGAUGGAGAAGCUGUGAAGAUGAAUUGUGAUGGCGCCAUAUCAACGCUGGGCGAGAAGGGAGCGGCUGCCGUGGUUUGCAGAGAUAAAGCAGGGAAGUUUCUUGGAGCAUCAGCAUUAGUUUUUGAGGGCUUGAUCGACCCGGCGAGCUUGGAGGCUCACGCGUGCAGUGAGGCCCUUGCCCUUGCCCGCGACUUGAAUUUGCAGGAGCUGGUAAUCGCAUCAGAUUGCUUAGAAGUGAUCUCCAACAUAAAGCAACAAGCAUCACCAGUGUAUGCGCCGAUUUUGCAGGACAUACACAUUAGCAUGAACCUUUUUACUUCAGUUUUCUUUCGUUUUGAACGUAGAGUAAAUAAUUUCGAGGCCCAUUCGGUUGCAAAAGGAGCUGCGUCUCUGCCGGUGGGCCGCCACGUGUGGCUAGGGAUCCUUCCUGAAAUUGCUUGUAUUCCGGAUGUGAUGAACUUUGAAUAA